RNAcentral lists this ribosomal RNA (450 nucleotides) under uncultured bacterium. RNAcentral's name for it is "partial 16S ribosomal RNA". It matches the Rfam family "Bacterial small subunit ribosomal RNA", at positions 354 to 796 of the family's 1533-position model. The record is from RNAcentral.
GUGGGGAAUCUUCCGCAAUGGACGAAAGUCUGACGGAGCAACGCCGCGUGAGUGAAGAAGGUUUUCGGAUCGUAAAGCUCUUUCGUUAGGGACGAACGUGCUCUUUGUGAAUAAUGAGGAGUAAUGACGGUACCUAAAUAAGAAGCCACGGCUAACUACGUGCCAGCAGCCGCGGUAAUACGUAGGUGGCAAGCGUUGUCCGGAAUUAUUGGGCGUAAAGCGCGCGCAGGCGGGAUAUCAAGUCUGUCUUAAAAGUGCGAGGCUCAACCUCGUGAGGGGACAGAAACUGGUAUUCUUGAGUGUCAGAGAGGAAAGUGGAAUUCCAAGUGUAGCGGUGAAAUGCGUAGAGAUUUGGAAGAACACCAGUGGCGAAGGCGACUUUCUGGACGAUGUCUGACGCUGAGGCGCGAAAGCUAGGGGAGCGAACGGGAUUAGAAACCCGGGUAGUCC